This 449-nucleotide ribosomal RNA is filed under the name uncultured bacterium. Its description in RNAcentral is "partial 16S ribosomal RNA". It matches the Rfam family "Bacterial small subunit ribosomal RNA", at positions 354 to 796 of the family's 1533-position model. The record is from RNAcentral.
GUCGAGAAUCUUUCACAAUGGGGGCAACCCUGAUGGAGCGACGCCGCGUGGAGGAUAAGGUCUUCGGAUUGUAAACUCCUGUCAUGCGUGAACAAGGUUGCUUGGGUAAUACCUGGGCAAAUUGAUGGUAACGCAAGAGGAAGAGACGGCUAACUCUGUGCCAGCAGCCGCGGUAAUACAGAGGUCUCAAGCGUUGUUCGGAAUCACUGGGCGUAAAGGGUGCGUAGGUGGCGUGGUAAGUCAGAUGUGAAAGCCCGGGGCUCAACCUCGGAACUGCAUCCGAUACUGCCAUGCUAGAGUACUGGAGAGGUGACUAGAAUUCUCGGUGUAGCAGUGAAGUGCGUAGAUAUCGAGAGGAAUACCAAAGGCGUAGGCAGGUCACUGGACAGUUACUGACACUGAGGCACGAAGGCCAGGGGAGCGAACGGGAUUAGAUACCCUGGUAGUCC